AAUAGGAAACACAUUCUACAACUUCUCAUAGUGAAUGUCUAAGUUAUGCAUGUGUAAAACAAGCAGAAGAGGGGCAAGAAUUACACUUUUACUUAUGAAUCACCAGGCUAUGUCACACAGUCACCUUCAACACUUGAUGACUGCACAAUAAAGUGACAGCUUGCAUGCAGCAAUACAUAGAUCCCCACAGAUCAGUGGUUUCUAACAGAGCCAGCUGAUAUCCCAGCUGUAACUCAUCAAAAUGCCCACUGAACUAGCACGAAGUGUCAUACAGUCAGCUUCAUAUAUAUGAUAUGACCUUUGCGGUGCUAGUUGUACACCUUGGUCAGUAUGACUACCAUUUUAAUUGAAUUGACACUUAUACUUACUCAAAACUUUAAACAAGUCUAACUGUGAUUUCUCAGUAUAAGAGUCCCAAGCAUUCGUUUUACUUCCAGUGUGAAAAGUAUUAUAUAUGGAAAACUGAACAUCAAUUCUUAAAAGUCACAAUACAAAGAAAAAAACCACCAUAAUUCAGAAAGCAGGAUCAAAAAAGACCUCAACACAAGCUGUUAUGGAAGUAGCUGUUUCUUUAUAGUACAAUUUAAAUCUGGAAAUACUGGAAACUUUCACUUCAAAUUGUCAAAAAAGGGGUCAUCAGCAUGAAAAGCUACAAUGUACUCUGCUGUCAGAAUCAGUCCAAAAAUCCAUCUCUC
This is a long non-coding RNA of Anolis carolinensis (green anole), 695 nucleotides long. RefSeq lists it as uncharacterized. Lineage: Eukaryota; Metazoa; Chordata; Lepidosauria; Squamata; Anolidae. The record is from RefSeq and is a predicted model, not a curated record. The transcript is spliced from 3 exons.